This 403-nucleotide ribosomal RNA is filed under the name uncultured Enterococcus sp. Its description in RNAcentral is "bacterial SSU rRNA". It matches the Rfam family "Bacterial small subunit ribosomal RNA", at positions 56 to 442 of the family's 1533-position model. Lineage: Bacteria; Bacillati; Bacillota; Bacilli; Lactobacillales; Enterococcaceae. The record is from RNAcentral.
UGCAGCCGAACGCCUCUUCUCCCCCGGAGCUUGCUCCACCGGGAAAAGAGGAGUGGCGAACGGGUGAGUAACACGUGGGUAACCUGCCCAUCAGAAGGGGAUAACACUUGGAAACAGGUGCUAAUACCGUAUAACAAUCGAGACCGCAUGGUUUCGUUUUGAAAGGCGCUUUACGGUGCCGCUGAUGGAUGGACCUGCGGUGCAUUAGCUAGUUGGUGAGGUAACGGCUCACCAAGGCCACGAUGCAUAGCCGACCUGAGAGGGUGAUCGGCCACAUUGGGACUGAACACGGCCCAAACUCCUACGGGAGGCAGCAGUAGGGAAUCUUCGGCAAUGGACGAAAGUCUGACCGACAACGCCGCGUGAGUGAAGAAGGUUUCGGAUCGUAAAACUCUGUGUUAGA